GAUGAAGUACGCAGCGAAAUGCGAUAAGUAGUGUGAAUUGCAGAAUUCAGUGAAUCAUCGAAUCUUUGAACGCACAUUGCGCCCCUUGGUAUUCCAUGGGGCAUGCCUGUUCGAGCGUCAUUUGUACCUUCAAGCUUUGCUUGGUGUUGGGUGUUUGUCUCGCCUUUGCGUGUAGACUCGCCUUAAAAUAAUUGGCAGCCGGCGUAUUGAUUUCGGAGCGCAGUACAUCUCGCGCUUUGCACUCAUAACGACAGCGUCCAAAAGUACAUUUUACACUCUUGACCUCGGAUCAGGUAGGGAUACCCGCUGAACUUAAGCAUAUCAAUAAGCGGAGGA
This 336-nucleotide unclassified non-coding RNA is filed under the name soil metagenome. Its description in RNAcentral is "partial contains 5.8S ribosomal RNA, internal transcribed spacer 2, and large subunit ribosomal RNA". The stretch from base 1 to 120 matches the Rfam family "5.8S ribosomal RNA", at positions 35 to 154 of the family's 154-position model. The record is from RNAcentral.